UACUUUUUGUUUUGAAUACCGUACAUUGUGCCUGACCCUAAUUUUCUUAGUAUUUCAUCAGAUUUCUUCAUAUUGAUAUCAAACCAAUGCUCAUUUUCUAAUUGAGAUAAAAUCAACAAGAUCAGGUAUAUUCAAUCUAUUAUAUACACACAAAAAUAUCAUGAAAAUGUUGGCACAGAUCCAAGAUGAUAACACAACUUUUUAAUGUACAAUAAAAGAUACAGACAUUCCUAUGAAAAUAAUGGCAUCAAUUUCAUUCACAAACACAUAUAAAAUUCUAGGACCUGUUCUGUGUAUAUUUUUUUCAAAUCAAAUGCACAAGACAAUAAAUGAUUUACAAUUCAAAUGUGAGGUUAAAUAGAAAUGCUUUCAUUCAAACAAAAAUCAUGAAGAAAUCUUCGUUCAAAUUAGAUGUUUUACCUAUCUAACAGUGAAUGAAUAAAAAUGAAAAUCCCUGGGAGUACUAAUGUACAUGGGUUUCCCUCCAAAAUGUUCCAAUGGCUGCAUAUUUUGGAUAAUUCUAAAAAUUAUCCGUUGCUUAAUUCUUUAUUCAACUUAUUUGUCAACUAUGAAGGUAUCAAUUCUUGUGCUAUAGAAAAAAGUGUUUUAUUCUAAGGAUUACAUGGAAUUGCUAUAAAAUUAUUUGUUAAGUAACUCCCUAUGAAUCCCCUAAAAAGGAAUGCAAUGAGUAACCAUAAUACACACAAUACAAGUCUUUUCAGUUCAUAUUUCUGAUUAAUUUUUUUUUUAUGUUUUUGUCUCAUUGACAUUGAUAUAAUAUCUUCUUAAAGUUUGUAAAGAAAAAAACACUUGCAUGAUUUAAACAGUUACAUUAGGAAAAAUUCUGAUUCUUCUAAAGCUAUGCCUAUUUCUACUAUGUUAUAACUUGAUUGGACAAUGAGGCUUGGUUUUAUUUCCUAAUGUGCAAACACAGUACAAAAGUACACAUCAUAGAUGUUCACAUUUCCAACCACUAGUGAUAAUCUGGUGAGUCUGGUGUGCACAUUUCAAUCCACUACCAUGAAAGUGUAAUAAAAGGGGUGAAUCUUAAAUAUUCAACACAAUAAACAUUAAUUCAGCACACUUGUGCUAUUUCCUGGGUGUGUCCUGAGUAAGGGGUGAAUUUUAAAUAUUCAACAAAAAACAUCAAUUCAGCACUCUUGCACUAUUUUGUAGGGUGCCGUUUUUGGUGGAUAAAGCAACAAUGCCUCAAGAGAAACACCAACCGUCAAUUGAUAAUCAAAAUAACUAAUGAUUCCGCAAGUCACAAAAAUUGAUACCAACAAUAAAUAAAUGAAUCCACAACACUAAAUCCUAAUAGAUCACCUUUGUAAUAUUAUAUUACAAUAGAUCACCUUUGUAAUAUUAUAUUACAAUAGAUCACCUUUGUAAUACUUUGUAAUAUUAUAUUACAAUAGAUCACCUUUGUAA
Molecule: long non-coding RNA, 1431 nt
Filed under: Mytilus galloprovincialis (Mediterranean mussel)
Lineage: Eukaryota; Metazoa; Mollusca; Bivalvia; Mytilida; Mytilidae
Source: RNAcentral